AAGGGAAAGCCCAGGCUCCACCCGGCUUUAUAUCUUCUUCGGGGUGUAUUGGUACAGUUAUUAGGGUUAGUUGGCGGUCCACCAGUCGUGGGAGCUCAGCCAGCAGCACAGGGUAGUGUUGAUUUAGGGGCACAGCCUGCGGCAGCGACGUGUAGGGUAGAGAUUCCACCAGCACCAGUAGUCCUACAGCUGGCAGUAGCCCAGCCAGUUAUGUCUGUAGAGGAGCAGAAGAUGUUGGAUCGAUUGACUCCACCCAGGUUUGCCGGGACCCCGUGAAAGGAUGCUCACGAGUUCCUAUCCAGUUGCGAUGUGGCGGAAUACCUGG
This 325-nucleotide long non-coding RNA is filed under the name Capsicum annuum. RNAcentral's name for it is "long non-coding RNA (CANN_LNC003656)". Lineage: Eukaryota; Viridiplantae; Streptophyta; Magnoliopsida; Solanales; Solanaceae. The record is from RNAcentral.